Molecule: ribosomal RNA, 254 nt
Filed under: uncultured bacterium
Lineage: Bacteria
Description: partial 16S ribosomal RNA
Rfam family: Bacterial small subunit ribosomal RNA
Source: RNAcentral
UACGUAGGGUGCAAGCGUUGUCCGGAAUUAUUGGGCGUAAAGAGCUCGUAGGUGGUUUGGUAAGUCGGAUGUGAAAUCUCCAGGCUCAACCUGGAGGGGUCAUUCGAUACUGCCAUGACUAGAGGUCGGUAGGGGAGUGUGGAAUUCCCGGUGUAGCGGUGAAAUGCGCAGAUAUCGGGAGGAACACCCGUAGCGAAGGCGGCACUCUGGGCCGGAACUGACGCUGAGGAGCGAAAGCGUGGGGAGCAAACAGG